Molecule: ribosomal RNA, 440 nt
Filed under: uncultured bacterium
Lineage: Bacteria
Description: bacterial SSU rRNA
Rfam family: Bacterial small subunit ribosomal RNA
Source: RNAcentral
CCUACGGGCGGCAGCAGUAGGGAAUUUUCCACAAUGGGCGAAAGCCUGAUGGAGCAACGCCGCGUGCUGGAUGAAGGCCUUAGGGUCGUAAACAGCUUUUAUGUACGAAGAAUUUGACGGUAAUACAUGAAUAAGGAUCGGCUAACUACGUGCCAGCAGCCGCGGUCAUACGUAGGAUCCAAGCGUUAUCCGGAAUUACUGGGCGUAAAGAGUUGCGUAGGUGGCAUUGUAAGCAGGGCAUGAAAUCGUGUGGCUCAACCAUACGGCUAUGUUCUGAACUGCAAAGCUAGAGCAUGAGAGGGGUAGAUGGAAUUACUAGUGUAGGAGUGAAAUCCGUAGAUAUUAGUAGGAACACCGAUAGCGUAGGCAGUCUACUGGCUCAUUGCUGACACUCAGGCACGAAAGCGUAGGGAGCGAACGGGAUUAGAUACCCCAGUAGU